CCACAAUUAAUAAUAGUUACUACAUUCGUACAGAAUAUGACUCAAAUAAUAAAAUAUAUUAAUAUUAAUUAAAAAAAACAUAAUGUAUCUCAUUGAUCUUAACAAACAAAAGGAAGUACUAAUCAAAAAUAUUAAUAUCACAGUAAUUUAAACAUAAAAAAUAUAUUAUUGAGGCUAAAUAACUAAUGUCAUUAUAUAACUAAUCCAGACGAAUGAUGGGUCUUCAAAUGGUUUCCACAACUUUUCGUCAUUUUGAACUCUUUCACCAGCUAAAUUAUUCAACAUCAGACAAUAUAACCUGAAAUUAUAAAAUAAUUGUGUCAAAAGUUAAAGUAUAAUGUGAAAACAUAUCUUGAACAUUCCAUUCAAUCAAGAAGCAAAACUGAAAACAAGAAUUAAACAAAUGCUUUCCAAAGUGCAACUAAACGACAACAGUAUAUGUCGAUGACAACAUAUGUAGAUUGCCCCAACCACAAUAAGGAAGAGGAAAGCCUCAUAUUAAAAUAACAACAGCAGCAUCUAAAGAUGACAACUUGCCAGAUACAACACUUGAGAAAACUUACUACACUGGUUAAACAUACCAACCAUUUUUACACAAACUCAAGAACAGAAAAAAAUCAGACAAAACAACACCACAAAGGAAAUCAGAAAGUGUCUUUGUAGCUACUAUUAUAAAGCAGAAUACUGAUCAUUUUCUUGCUACAGAAUAUGAUAGUCAUGAGAAAAGUGAAAGAACAAUCAAUAAAGACCCACGUCAAGAUCAUUGUCAUUUUCCCUAUUAAAAAGAAAGAAUAUAGUACCCUCACCUGAAAAGCAGAAGUCUUUUUGCAAGUGAGUUUAACUUUGCUUUGAAUCUUGGCAGAUUUUAGGACCUAAAAGUUAUUGGCAUACAAAAAGCAUUCCCCACUCAUGUUACUCAUCUUAUAGUAUAGUAUAUAUAAGCUAUCAUCAUUCCACUUAUUUAAUAUAAAGGGUGGCCAACUAAGUUCCUUCUAUGCGUGGGCUAUCUGCAGAAUAUUCAAGAAAACCAACUCAAUGGCAAAUAGAUCUCUUUCUUACUCUUGGAUAAAUCCAUUAUCUGAAGUAGAAUCUCCAGAGGUGUUUAAUCAAAGUACUACUGUUCAUUUUGGCUCGCCGAAUAUCUCUUCUUUAACUUACGCUGCAUCACUUCUCCACUUAACCAGUAAGAAUGACUUAGCCUCAAAUAUUAAUCAGUAGAAAUAGAUGGGGAAAAUGGGUUUAUGAUUCUUCUGUAGAUUAGUUUGGAAGGCCUCCCUCUUCAUCAUUGGUAAGUAUCUAUCCAACAAAUGGAAUGCAUGCAUGCAAUAACUUGAAUUAUGUAUCUAAUUUUUCUCCGUCUAAUGAUUUAUAAUUACUUAAUGAUAAAGAAAUUUUGGAAUGACUUCUUUAGUUUAGAUUAUUCAUAAUAUACAAUUAUCUAUCCUGUAAGUUCCAGUCUUAAGCUAUCCAUAGAACUAAAGAUAAAAAAGAGCUCUAGCUUAUUGUAAGCAAUCAUGAGCUUAACACUAGCUAGAAUAUAUGCUUCUAACAUAUACAAGUGAUGUUGGUGAAAUACCAAAUUACAAUUCACUCUCUUAAAAAUACAAAUCAAAACUAGGUUUCAGGUCUGUUAAUUAUUCUAUUUCCAUGAUGCUCACAGCUGCAUGAUUGAAAUAAAGUAAGUAAUAACAAGAGGUAGGAGUCAAGUUACUAUUAUUAUAUUGUAAGUUUGACAACUGCGUGGUCUUUAACAAGGAAAGAAGACCCUUAAUACUAUUGUUUCAAGACCAUCUUUUCUUUCAAGUCCUAGUACUGAAGUUCCUUGUAACUUCAUGUUUUUGUCGCCUGAGGUUUCCAUGUUUUUCAACACAUCCCCCGCCAUAACUUCUGAGACUAUUUUUCAACAUAUCCCCCGCGUUAACUUCUGAGACUAUUGAUUUUGAAGGUUCGAAUAAACAGAUGAAUAGCUUCUCAAUUGGUUCAUGACAAGAGAUGCAAAGAAGUAUAUGAAUGGAAGAUAAUGAAGCAGGGUUAAGGAGUAAUCAAGAUUCAACAAAUGAUAAUAUUACUCAAUGGGAAAACAUCAAAUCAAUUGGAUUUCCUUUCAGUUUGACAACUAGUUUGGCUGAUAAAUGGAAGCCAAGUUUGAGUUGGGAUUCUUCUUCAUGUCCUAGUGAGAUAUCAACCACUUACGACUCAACAAACAAAUGGUACACCUAAUUCAACACCCAAACAAAGAACCUCCUGGCCUUAUGUACAACUAGUUCUUCUUUAUUUUCACUAUCAGCAUCCAGUAUCCGAAUUAGUUUGUCUCAGAUAUAGGACGCUAAAAGAAAAAAAUGGAAGAAGAAAACCUAGUCAUAGCACUGAAAAAACAGUGAGGCUUUUGGGAUCAAUCAGGCACAAAAACAUAGUGAGGCUUUUGGGAUGUUGUAAUAACGGCAAAACAAGAUUGUUCUUGUUUGAUUACAUUAGUCAUGGGAGUUUAGCAGGACUGCUACAUGAGAAAAAAGUAUUUCUAGAUUAGGAUGCUAGGUAUAAUAUCAUAUUAAGAGAAGCUCAAGAUUUAGCUUAUCUUCACCAUGAUUGUAUUCCUCCUAUAGUCCAUCGCGAUAUCAAGGCCAAUAAUAUUUUGGUUGGUCCACAGUUUGAAGCUUUUCUUGCAGACUUUGGACUUGCAGAAAAAAGAACAUGUUCAGAGUAAAUACAAUAAAGAUGCAUUUACAUGAUCACUGCAUUUAUAUUGUCACCAGAAUUGACCAUCUGCAAGUCAUAUGAAAUAAAGAUUUCAAGUGACAAUCUAAAAGCACACAAUCGUCUAACAUGAAAGCUCAAUUAGUCCAUGCUUAUUAAAGGAUCUAAAAAUCUUUGUCCAUGCUACAUACAUCGUUUCAUACAGAAUACGAAUCCCAUGUACAAGAGCAUUAACCUCGGCAACUAUAUGAGUUUCUUUCCCAAAAAUUUGUUUAUACAUAGGAGAAAUUUAGAUAUAAGAGAUAAGUGGCCAAAACAAACUUCCUAAAUCAGGAUUUUCUACAUCCAAAUAAUAACAUGACUUUUGCCAGAUUAAUGUACACAUAAUUUAUUGUAAAUCAAUCGACAAGAAUCAAUCCAAAAUCUACUAUAAACCGAUUGCACGCGACUGAUUUAACAGGGGGAAAAGAAAAGUUAACAGGGGAAGAAGAUGGACGGGCACUACGACAGGCUGUUGAACAGCGAGUUAGGAACUGAAUUACUGUAAAUCAAUAGACCAACAUUGAUACAAAAUCUACUAUAAAUCUAUUGGAAGAAGAGAAAUUAAUUUACUAUAAGUCGAUUCUACUGUAAAUCAAUUCUACUGUAAAUCAAAGAGAACAAAGUUUACCUAGGAAAAAGAUGGGCUGCCGUUGACGCACUCGCACUGCCGUUGAUACACUAUAAAUUGCACCUCCAUUGACGCAAUAGCGAGUUAGGUUUUUUCGGCAGCAAAGUCGAUUCAAGAGGGAAAUCGAUUCUACUGUAAAUCAAUUGUAAAUCGAAGAGAAGAGAAUUAACCUGGAAAAAGGUAGGAUGCCGUUGACGCACUCGCGCUGCCGUUGAUGCACUGUAAAUCGCACUGCCGUUGACGCAGCAACCUGUUAGGUUUUUUCAGCAGCGAUUUAGGAUGUUUUAUUGUUUUUCAUUCAUUUGGGGAGUGAGGUUUUUAGUUCUAUUGUUUUCUAAUUGGGGAGGGAAACAUAAGGUUUUUAGUUUUAUUGUUUUCUAAUUGGGGAGGGAAACAAAAAAGGUAUCAAAA
This 3775-nucleotide long non-coding RNA is filed under the name Nicotiana tabacum (common tobacco). RNAcentral's name for it is "long non-coding RNA (NTAB_LNC006490)". The record is from RNAcentral. Lineage: Eukaryota; Viridiplantae; Streptophyta; Magnoliopsida; Solanales; Solanaceae.